AAAUGUCUCAAAAACAAUUAGCCUACAAGGAAACAUGAUAGUAAAUGGAAAAAAAGAUCUUCAAGUUUGAGAAUUACCUAUCCCUAUUAUUUGCAACAAACUCCUUCCAAUUUUGAGUAUCACUUACCCCGUUUUAUUUACAUUUGAGUGCACAUAGUUUCUUCUUAGGCUAGAUUUUUACAAUUAUUGGGAUUUUGAAACAAAAUUUAUUUAAGGUUGAGUUAUGCACCAAAUCGAAGGAAUGAAGAGCAGCCACAACGAGAUGGAUUACUUCAUUUCCUUGGUAAGGAAAACAGAAAUAACAGGCUACCAAUGGUUCUAAUACCCCCUCCCAAUUGGGAAUUACUCAGGUUUGAUGGUCAAGACUCAGUUUCGAAAAUGUGGGGUAUUUCAAUU
This 396-nucleotide unclassified non-coding RNA is filed under the name Hevea brasiliensis (rubber tree). The record is from RNAcentral. Lineage: Eukaryota; Viridiplantae; Streptophyta; Magnoliopsida; Malpighiales; Euphorbiaceae.